AAGUCGUAACAAGGUUUCCGUAGGUGAACCUGCGGAGGGAUCAUUAAGACGUAUCCAAACGUUAAAACCCCCAUGCCCCCUAAUAACCCCACAGUAUAAUGUGAAGCUCAAUGUAAUACAUUGGGUAAAAAAACCGAACAACUGUUAACAAUGGAUAUCUUGGUUCUC
RNAcentral lists this unclassified non-coding RNA (168 nucleotides) under fungal sp. RNAcentral describes it as "partial internal transcribed spacer region". The stretch from base 1 to 46 matches the Rfam family "Eukaryotic small subunit ribosomal RNA", at positions 1786 to 1831 of the family's 1831-position model. The record is from RNAcentral. Lineage: Eukaryota; Fungi.